UUCUUCUUCUUGAUAUUUUCGCAUCUCUCAUUCCUCUAGAAAACUCUGCCGUGAAGUAGCAGCCAUGAGGGUUUGGGCAAGAAUGAUUGCCAUUUUUGGAAAAAAUGCAGUAAAUGCAAGGCAAAAAUUCGAUUAGGUUCUGCACAGGUACCGCCAUGAGGAAUACCUUGAGGGAUUUUCAGCUUCGAAACCAAGCACUCAGUCCGCCAUAGAUACUGCAAGGAAGGCAAAUGCAAACAAGGACGAAGCAGCAAGACGAAGGCAACACCAAGGCUACUCCAAUCGUUCCAGUCAUUCAGGCAAUGACUGGUUCCACUCUCAACAUGCUUUCUUUAUUUUUGUACUCAUGUAUACAUGUCUAUGUAUUUCCUUCCUGCACCUAAUGUAUGUAGCUAGUCUCACGGCUCUUUGUGUGGGACGCAUGUUUGAAUAUUAAUAAAAAUACUUCUCUUUUUUGAUGA
Molecule: long non-coding RNA, 461 nt
Organism: Cryptomeria japonica (Japanese cedar)
Lineage: Eukaryota; Viridiplantae; Streptophyta; Pinopsida; Cupressales; Cupressaceae
Exons: 2
Source: RefSeq, a predicted model, not a curated record